Pseudoliparis swirei is the source of this 516-nucleotide long non-coding RNA. RefSeq lists it as uncharacterized. Lineage: Eukaryota; Metazoa; Chordata; Actinopteri; Perciformes; Liparidae. The transcript is spliced from 3 exons. The record is from RefSeq and is a predicted model, not a curated record.
UCGCCUGAAGUGAAAACCGUCAAGGCAACUCAAAAACAAGGUCUACUGCUGUGUCCCGUAACAGUCCGAAAUUGUAACCAUAUUGCUGAAUUCGAUCCCUUUGGAUGGGCUGACAUGGCAGGGAAAAGGCCAGCCAAGUUGCUAGUUAUCCUGAAUUCUGAUGACACCAGGAAGCUAAUUCUGCCUGAUGGCAUUCCAGAGACAAUGGAGCAGCUAUUGAAUGAAGUCAGGAAACAGUUUGAGUUAAAUGGAACUUUUAGACUGCAGUACAAAGACAGAGACUUUGGAGAUGCACUCGUGAACUUGACAUCUACUGCAGAACUUGAGGAUUUGACAACUGUCAAGGUCAUCCCAAUAACUGAUGAUUGCAGCGAAGGAUUUGAUAUCACUGCCUCUAAUGAGUCGAUGUGUACCCAAUCAGAUGACACAGAGCUCCUGUCCUCACCCUCCAGCACUGUCUCUACAAGAACUCAGUUGUGGCCAAGAGUGUUUCCAAUACCAACAUUCUCUUACGAA